This 2053-nucleotide unclassified non-coding RNA is filed under the name Leishmania donovani. RNAcentral describes it as "gene:LdHU3.15.0110(CDS-product:hypothetical_prote in_conserved)". The record is from RNAcentral. Lineage: Eukaryota; Euglenozoa; Kinetoplastea; Trypanosomatida; Trypanosomatidae.
CUCAUCUGGGCACUUCCCAAGGCGGAGGGCCGUCGCAUCGCUUUUUCGACUCCUGCGCCCCUUUUGGAUCGCCCUAUAUCAGGCCCCCGGCAGCUGUGGUUUGCUCGCACGUUCUCUUUUCACAGCCCCUCUCCCCCCGUCCUCUUCCCCUCCCCGCUGGGGCACACUCGAUCGAGGAACCUGCACGUUGCGACGGACGCGUGCCUGCCUCUGCUUCUGCGUGUCUGCUCGUUGCACGCCCUCUCUCUCGUUCGGUCAUCCUCAUUUCGUCACGCUCUUUCCUUCUUGCUCGUCCCAUCAUGCGGCGCUCCUCGUCGUGUUUGUAUAAGAUUCCCAAGAACAUGGGUGUGGCGCCGCGCUUCGACACAUGGAACGAGAAGUACGAGCCAUGGGAGCACCUGAAGCGCAUGGGGCGGCUGGCGGGCACCGGCUUCUACAUCCCCCCGGAGUGGUACAACCACUUUCGCAUGUUCCCGCCCAUCAACCACAACUUUCAACAAGAGAAGACGCUCAACCCGCACAACGCGAGUGAGCCGACACAGGAUGACACGGACCACCUUUCCGUCGAGCGCAUCGCGCUGCGCGAUGAGCUGGCGCGCAAGAGCCGCCUAUUAGCCUCGGAGGGAAUGCGGUAUUACAACGUGUUUUGGAUACGCAAGCCGCUUGAUCGAAUGGAGCGGCAUUACUACGAGCUAAAGCGCAAGGGCGUAGCGCACUCGGUGGCGAUCAAGCGGGUGCUGCAGAUGUUCUACGACGACCUCACCGUAAAGAAGCGCGUAGCCGCCAUUCAGGCUGAGGAGGCGAAGUUGUCCGGCAAGUACAUCUCCAUGCGUGAGGCCACAGUCCUCAUGGGGGUGCUGACGCAGCUACAGAAGGAGCAGCUCACUCCGCACCAGGUGACGCUGUUGGCCAAAGAGCAACGAGAGAAGGCGCAAGCGGGAGAGGCCUUUGCCGCCACUGUGGAGCGCUCUACCGAGACCGUUGCUGACGCUGCCAAGGAUGCCGCAGAGGGCGACGAGGUCAUGUCCGCUGACUCCCUCGCCGAGUUGCUUUCUACGGAAGCGGACCUGGACGACAGCAGUCCCUCCAUCUCCUACAAGGUCACGAUCCACGAAACGGAGCAUGACAGCGUGAAACAGCUGCAAGAGUUGGCACUGGACCACACCGGCAAGAGCGACUGGUACACCGGCGCGUCGCCUGUGCUUCACGUGGAGGAGCCGAUGCCAACAAAGCGCACUCCUGCCAGCAAGCAGACGGGGAGCUGAUACGCCAGCAGCGGCACUCUCGCAGCUUUGUGUCGCCCCCGCUCUGCGUAUGUGCUGGCUGCUGGGUAUCAGUGAAUGGUGUUGGGCUCUACAUAGACACAUUAAAGUGCUUGAGGGGCACGAGGGGAGGGGGCAAUGUGAGGAGAGGGAGACGCUGCCGCCGCGGAUGUGUGCCUGCGCCACAGCUGCCGGCCCCUCCUCUUCGCCUCUUCUCUUUCGCUGCCUCGCUCCACCACUUGCCACCUCUCUCUCCCUCUCACCCUCCUUUCAUCGUGUCCCAAAGCGUAACUUGCGGGGGGGUGUAGGUGGUGGCGUUGUCUGCACUGCGGAAAGCUGUCGGGACACCACCGUGCAGCUUUCGACCCUCCCGCUUGCACCUUCGCCCCUCGUUUUGCAGUUCGUUGAAGGUUUCGUAUGCACGUGCUUGUGUGUCUCUCUGUAGCGGCGGGUGUGCUCCGCACGUCUGGCGUGGCUUUUCUCCACAUUAAUCGACACGCACCAAGCAGAACACAACGAGAUGAACUGAGAGACCCUUUCAGGUGAGCUGAGCGACCACAGCUUAGCGUCGACUGCGCGCGGGCAGCGCGUGCCUGUUCGAGUGUACUUCCUUCAAAGACCACCUCACGAUGUGUGUCUAUCUCUUUGUGUCCUUCGAGUCAAACAUGGAACGAUGCCCAUGGCAAAGUGGGGUCUUCUCCGCCCCGCACCCCCUCGCCCAGUCAACUCCCUCUCUCGGUGCUCUGCAUCACUUUUGCUACGCCUUUGCACCUUCUCUCUCCCCGCCGCAG